RNAcentral lists this ribosomal RNA (460 nucleotides) under uncultured bacterium. RNAcentral's name for it is "partial 16S ribosomal RNA". It matches the Rfam family "Bacterial small subunit ribosomal RNA", at positions 338 to 795 of the family's 1533-position model. The record is from RNAcentral.
CCUACGGGAGGCAGCAGUGAGGAAUCUUGGUCAAUGGACGAAAGUCUGAACCAGCAAUGCCGCGUGCAGGAUGACGGCCCUAUGAGUUGAAAACUGCUUUUGUAUUAGGGUAAACCCCCCUACGUGUAGGGUCUUGAUAGUAUAGUACGAAUAAGGAUCGGCUAAAUUCGCGCCAGCAGCGGCGGUAAUACGGAGGGUCCAAGCCUUAUCCGGAUUUAUUGGGUUUAAAGGGUGCGUAGGCGGUCUGAUAAGUUAGAGGUGAAAUACCGGUGCUCAACCCGGGAAGUGCCUCUAAUACUGGGGGACUUGAGAGUAGUUGCGGAAGGCGGAAUGCAAGGUGUAGCGGUGAAAUGCGUAGAUAUAAUACAGAACACCGAUUGCGAAGGCAGCUUUCCAAACUAUAUCUGACGUUGAGGCACGAAAGCGUGGGUAGCAAACAGGAUUAGAUACCCGUGUAGUC